This 68-nucleotide transfer RNA is filed under the name Marmota monax (woodchuck). Its description in RNAcentral is "tRNA.Ala". The stretch from base 6 to 63 matches the Rfam family "tRNA", at positions 8 to 63 of the family's 71-position model. From Rfam's summary of the family: Transfer RNA (tRNA) molecules are approximately 80 nucleotides in length. Their secondary structure includes four short double-helical elements and three loops (D, anti-codon, and T loops). Lineage: Eukaryota; Metazoa; Chordata; Mammalia; Rodentia; Sciuridae. The record is from RNAcentral.
GGAUAUAGCUCAGUUGGUAGAGUGCUUGCCUUGCAUGCACAAAGCCCUGGGUUUGAGCCCCAGCACCA